UCGGUGCAGGGCGCGGAGCCGUUCUGCAGCGGGAACAGCACGAAGAGUGAGCUGUCGUUGGCGUCCAGCACCAGCACGCGCACCAGCGCCUCGCUGCUCAGCGCCGUGGAGCCGCGGUCUGAAGCGCCCACGCGGAACUCGAACUCCUGCAGGGCCUCGUAGUCCAGCGACCUGAGGGCGAACAGAAUCGCGGUCUUGAAUGCUGAAAAGAGCUGCAACGGUCUCAGGAGAAUUUUCGCGGAUGGGGCUUGUGAAUGAAGCCAUGGUCAGUUCCGGAGCGUUAUCGUUGAUAUCUACCACCUGUAUUAUGACAGUGCAUUUUCCAGAAAGACCUGCCCCAUCAGAGGCUUUAAUAUCC
RNAcentral lists this long non-coding RNA (358 nucleotides) under Homo sapiens (human). RNAcentral's name for it is "non-protein coding lnc-TAF7-1:8". The record is from RNAcentral. Lineage: Eukaryota; Metazoa; Chordata; Mammalia; Primates; Hominidae.